Molecule: unclassified non-coding RNA, 1300 nt
Filed under: Zea mays
Lineage: Eukaryota; Viridiplantae; Streptophyta; Magnoliopsida; Poales; Poaceae
Description: misc RNA Zm00001eb143100
Source: RNAcentral
CAUUUUUUCCUAGCCGCCACUUCUCUCCCUGGCUUCUUCCCCAACGCACAGGGAGCUUCCUCCCUUCCUCCCAUGGCAGCCGACCAGCCGAGUGCCCUCCCUAUCCUCCUCCUGGCGCGAGUUCCCUGUUCCUCAGCUCCAUGGAUGCAGCCCCUCCUCACCAUGGACGCCCUUCCCUCCAGCAGCGACGGGGCUAGGGUACCGGACACGCAAGACUCGCCCAGACCAUCGGCCUCUGCUUUUCCCAGCGCCCCUUUCACCAUUGGUCACGGGCCCCUCUGCACCUUGCGUGUAUGGCACUUCUCUGAUCCGAGCUCGCGCAGCCGUGGAGCAUCUCCCUGCCAUCUCCCUCCCAUGGACGCCCAGAAAAAUCCCCCAUGCCGACGCCCCUUCUUUUCCCUUACUCGUUCUCCCUCGCGCAACAGCAGCCGGGUCUUCUUCCUCCCCCUGCUGUCCACGACGUGCAGCAAACAGGGAGCUGAGCUCCAUCUCCCCCUCAUGGCGGGACACAGCAGCAGCUCGCCCCGCCUCUCCUCGCAGGCGCAGCCCCCUCCCAUGGCGCGCUGCAGUAGAUGCCGUGGAGCAUUCCCUCCAUGCCUUGCGACUCGGUUUCCUUCCUGCGUGUGUGCUGCUGCGCCUGCGCCGUUGAUGCUUGCUAGGCGCUCGACAAAAUGCGCAGCAGCCCCAACGUCUCCGCGCGGCUCGCUGCUUUUUUUUUGCGUAGUGAACAGCACGCCGUCGACGCUCGUCGAGUGUUUGCUGUUUUUGCGCAGCCCCAACAGCAUCGUCGUUCACCCCGGAGAGAAACCCCGUGUUUGCGUGGAGGAGGCAAGUCGUUCAACGCUCGUCGAUGUGCGAAGCUAUGCACAAAUCGGAAUCACCGUCGUUCUUGCAAACGCCGUUUGGGUUUGUUUAUGGACCGAGAGAUGAUGAUCGAGCAACUAAUGUGGUGCCAACCACAAGAUACCGUUGGUGGACGACCUGAAGACUGAUGGACUUAACCAGUGGAUGCUCGCCAAGCGAGCACCUUUCCCCCAGCAAACACUAUUUAAGUGUUAAAAAUUAAAGGUACCUCCUUGAUUUUGGUUGAUGGUGUGACUUGGCCUCCAUCCCUGCCACCGGGAUAGAUGGUCGAGUGGGUUACUGCUUCCGCAGGAGAGGACCAGGAGGAGUAGCGUGGCCAGGCUUCGCCAUGUUACUCGGUUCUUCUCCGUUAGUUAUUUCCGCUGCAUUAAAAUUUAUGGUUAUUAUUUCUGAAACUCCGAUAAUGUAAUCACUAAUGAUACUUAUUAAAUUUGUG